Oreochromis niloticus (Nile tilapia) is the source of this 588-nucleotide long non-coding RNA. RefSeq lists it as uncharacterized. The record is from RefSeq and is a predicted model, not a curated record. Lineage: Eukaryota; Metazoa; Chordata; Actinopteri; Cichliformes; Cichlidae. The transcript has 3 exons.
CAGCUACGUCCACCCGGGGUGAAAGUAGUGUGGGAGACCAUCAGGACCCAGCUGGGUUUCCUUGGUCCAGAGGUUUGGAGAAACCUCUUCCUUUUCUUUCAUCACAGCUGUCCUGUGCCAGAUGUUCUGUUGACCCACUGAGAGAGGCGUGUUUGAGAAAGAUCAGGAAGACUGAAGCUCAUGGUAGGAAUGAAGGAGGACCUUGUGAGCUCCACCAGCAGCUCCCUCACAAGGAACUGUUCACAAGUCCACUGCAGGCACGCCCCAGAAGAUGGAUAAAGGCAGCGUUUCAUGAAGACACUGGAACCAAUCUAUCUUCAUAACAGCAGGAUAAAGACAUGGUGAUAAAUGAGUGUGUGGGCCGUCUGCUGAGGACCAGGAGCUCAGGACACUCAGACGGGGGCGUCGCAGCAGGAGUCACCGCGCACCACAAUCCUCUGCUGUUCUGAGAUGUCACACUCCUGCCUGCACAUAGAAACCACAGUGAAGUCAAAGUUCCACCUGCACCUCCACCUGUUCUUGCAACAGCAUGAACACUGACAGAGGAGGAAGGUGGAGGCGCAGCUCCAGCAGAGCAACACCAGAGGU